This 527-nucleotide ribosomal RNA is filed under the name Klebsiella pneumoniae. RNAcentral describes it as "partial 23S ribosomal RNA". It matches the Rfam family "Bacterial large subunit ribosomal RNA", at positions 2416 to 2925 of the family's 2925-position model. The record is from RNAcentral. Lineage: Bacteria; Pseudomonadati; Pseudomonadota; Gammaproteobacteria; Enterobacterales; Enterobacteriaceae.
UGAUCCGGUGGUUCUGAAUGGAAGGGCCAUCGCUCAACGGAUAAAAGGUACUCCGGGGAUAACAGGCUGAUACCGCCCAAGAGUUCAUAUCGACGGCGGUGUUUGGCACCUCGAUGUCGGCUCAUCACAUCCUGGGGCUGAAGUAGGUCCCAAGGGUAUGGCUGUUCGCCAUUUAAAGUGGUACGCGAGCUGGGUUUAGAACGUCGUGAGACAGUUCGGUCCCUAUCUGCCGUGGGCGCUGGAGAAUUGAGGGGGGCUGCUCCUAGUACGAGAGGACCGGAGUGGACGCAUCACUGGUGUUCGGGUUGUCAUGCCAAUGGCACUGCCCGGUAGCUAAAUGCGGAAGAGAUAAGUGCUGAAAGCAUCUAAGCACGAAACUUGCCCCGAGAUGAGUUCUCCCUGAGACUUUAAGUCUCCUGAAGGAACGUUGAAGACGACGACGUUGAUAGGCCGGGUGUGUAAGCGCAGCGAUGCGUUGAGCUAACCGGUACUAAUGAACCGUGAGGCUUAACCUUACAACGCCGAAG